AUGCACGCUGGCGGCGUGCCUCAUCCAUGCCAGUCGAGCGAACAGACGAGGAGCUUGCUCCUCUGACGUUAGCGGCGGACGGGUGAGUAACACGUGGAUAACCUACCUAUAAGACUGGGAUAACUUCGGGAAACCGGAGCUAAUACCGGAUAAUAUAUUGAACCGCAUGGUUCAAUAGUGAAAGACGGUUUUGCUGUCACUUAUAGAUGGAUCCGCGCCGCAUUAGCUAGUUGGUAAGGUAACGGCUUACCAAGGCAACGAUGCGUAGCCGACCUGAGAGGGUGAUCGGCCACACUGGAACUGAGACACGGACCAGACUCCUACGGGAGGCAGCAGUAGGGAAUCUUCCGCAAUGGGCGAAAGCUUGACGGAGCAACGCCGCGUGAGUGAUGAAGGUCUUCGGAUCGUAAAACUCUGUUAUUAGGGAAGAACAAAUGUGUAAGUAACUAUGCACGUCUUGACGGUACCUAAUCAGAAAGCCACGGCUAACUACGUG
This 496-nucleotide ribosomal RNA is filed under the name uncultured bacterium. RNAcentral describes it as "partial 16S ribosomal RNA". It matches the Rfam family "Bacterial small subunit ribosomal RNA", at positions 29 to 507 of the family's 1533-position model. The record is from RNAcentral.